Molecule: ribosomal RNA, 253 nt
Filed under: uncultured bacterium
Lineage: Bacteria
Description: partial 16S ribosomal RNA
Rfam family: Bacterial small subunit ribosomal RNA
Source: RNAcentral
UACGUAGGUGGCAAGCGUUGUCCGGAUUCACUGGGCGUAAAGCGCGCGCAGGCGGUCUCCUACGUCUGGGGUGAAAACCCGGGGCUCAACCCCGGGACUGCCUUGGAUACGGGAAGACUUGAGGAUCGGAGAGGCAAGGGGAAUUCCACGUGUAGCGGUGAAAUGCUUAGAUAUGACAUAGAACACCAAUUGCGAAGGCAGCUGGCUACACGAAUAUUGACACUCAGGCACGAAAGCGUGGGGAUCAAACAGG